Molecule: transfer RNA, 72 nt
Filed under: Marmota monax (woodchuck)
Lineage: Eukaryota; Metazoa; Chordata; Mammalia; Rodentia; Sciuridae
Description: tRNA.Ala
Source: RNAcentral
GGAGUUGUGGCUCAGUGGUAGAGCACUUGCCUGGCAUGCAUGAAGGCCCUGCGUUUGAUCCUCAGUGCUGCA